Molecule: transfer RNA, 75 nt
Filed under: Chloroflexota bacterium
Lineage: Bacteria; Bacillati; Chloroflexota
Also listed under: 1 other name
Description: Chloroflexi bacterium tRNA-Lys
Rfam family: tRNA
About the family: Transfer RNA (tRNA) molecules are approximately 80 nucleotides in length. Their secondary structure includes four short double-helical elements and three loops (D, anti-codon, and T loops). Further hydrogen bonds mediate the characteristic L-shaped molecular structure. tRNAs have two regions of fundamental functional importance: the anti-codon, which is responsible for specific mRNA codon recognition, and the 3' end, to which the tRNAs corresponding amino acid is attached (by aminoacyl-tRNA synthetases). tRNAs cope with the degeneracy of the genetic code in two manners: having more than one tRNA (with a specific anti-codon) for a particular amino acid; and 'wobble' base-pairing, i.e. permitting non-standard base-pairing at the 3rd anti-codon position.
Source: RNAcentral
GGGGGUGUAGCUCAGUGGUAGAGCACCUGCCUUUUAAGCAGGGUGUCGAGAGUUCGAUCCUCUCCGCCCCUACCA